RNAcentral lists this ribosomal RNA (326 nucleotides) under uncultured eukaryote. RNAcentral describes it as "partial 18S ribosomal RNA". It matches the Rfam family "Eukaryotic small subunit ribosomal RNA", at positions 1470 to 1796 of the family's 1831-position model. The record is from RNAcentral.
CCCUUAGAUGUUCUGGGCCGCACGCGCGCUACACUGAUGCAUUCAACGAGUCCAACCUUGACCGAGAGGUCCGGGUAAUCAUUGAAACUGCAUCGUGAUGGGGCUAGAUUAUUGCAAUUAUUAAUCUUCAACGAGGAAUGCCUAGUAAGCGUGAUUCAUCAAAUCGCGUUGAUUACGUCCCUGCCCUUUGUACACACCGCCCGUCGCUCCUACCGAUUGAGUGUGUUGGUGAGGAGUUUGGAUUGGCCUCGGAAGGUGGUUCGCCACCGUCCGUAGCUGAGAAGUUCUCCAAACCGCCCCACUUAGAGGAAGGAGAANUCGUAACA